RNAcentral lists this ribosomal RNA (434 nucleotides) under uncultured Clostridium sp. RNAcentral describes it as "partial 16S ribosomal RNA". It matches the Rfam family "Bacterial small subunit ribosomal RNA", at positions 341 to 792 of the family's 1533-position model. The record is from RNAcentral. Lineage: Bacteria; Bacillati; Bacillota; Clostridia; Eubacteriales; Clostridiaceae.
ACGGAAGGCAGCAGUGGGGAAUAUUGGACAAUGGGGGAAACCCUGAUCCAGCGACGCCGCGUGAGUGAAGAAGUAUUUCGGUAUGUAAAGCUCUUUAAGCAGGAAAGAAAAUGACGGUACCUGCAGAAUAAGCCCCGGCUAACUACGUGCCAGCAGCCGCGGUAAUACGUAGGUGGCAAGCGUUAUCCGGAUUUACUGGGUGUAAAGGGCGCGUAGGCGGGAAAGCAAGUCAGAUGUGAAAUCCAUGGGCUCAACUCAUGAACUGCAUUUGAAACUGUUUUUCUUGAGUGUCGGAGAGGUAGAUGGAAUUCCUAGUGUAGCGGUGAAAUGCGUAGAUAUUAGGAAGAACACCAGUGGCGAAGGCGAUCUACUGGACGAUAACUGACGCUGAGGCGCGAAAGCGUGGGGAGCAAACAGGAUUAGAUACCCUGGUA